RNAcentral lists this ribosomal RNA (254 nucleotides) under uncultured prokaryote. RNAcentral describes it as "partial 16S ribosomal RNA". It matches the Rfam family "Bacterial small subunit ribosomal RNA", at positions 524 to 776 of the family's 1533-position model. The record is from RNAcentral.
GACGUAGGGUGCGAGCGUUGUCCGGAUUUCUUGGGCGUAAAGAGCUCGUAGGCGGUGUGUCGCGUCGGCCGUGAAAACCUGGGGCUUAACUCUGGGCUUGCGGUCGAUACGGGCAUCACUGGAGUUCGGCAGGGGAGACUGGAAUUCCUGGUGUAGCGGUGAAAUGCGCAGAUAUCAGGAGGAACACCGGUGGCGAAGGCGGGUCUCUGGGACGGUACUGACGCUGAGACGCGAAAGCGUGGGGAGCGAACAGG